GUGCGUUCAGUAAGUAUAACGUUUCAAGAUGGCGGAGCGAAUUGCAUGGUUAUUGUUUCUACUCGAUGGAUUCGCAGAUACUUCGGAAAUAGAUCAGAUUGGGAUCAAUAACUUUAUUGCAUACGAUCAUUUACAUGUGUGUGUUGCCAGUAAUGGUUGAAGAUAUGCCAAACAAAUUGUGCCUUUCUAUACAGACAGAUUUCAGGUCUCAAUUUCAACUUCAAAGGUCAACAUAUCACUGAUAUCAGGAAUUCUGUGAAACUGUGGCACCAUGUAUGGUACGUGAGCGCACAAUGUCUGUUGGAAAAAGGAUAUUGGAAUAAGCAAAGGGACUCAACAUUACACAGUCAUUUCAACAUGUAGAGUCUUGUCAGCAAAGAUGGAGCAGUACAUCAGAUUUCCAGAAUCUCGUCAUGAGCUGAAGAUCAUUGCCUAUGGAUUUCAUGAAUGAUGUAAAAUGAUUUGACUGUUGAUGGAACCCACAGUGCAUGUCCUGCUUCAACAUCUGAGCAUAGGUCCUUGUUUAUCAGCAGUUUAGUUCUUCAAGCAGUCUGUGACAGUAACUUGAAAUGUUUGGACAUAUGUCCUGGAUGGCCAAGUUCUGUUCAUGAUGCCCAUUUAAAUAGAAACGGCCCGGUGGCGCAUUAAAUGGACAAUUUUUCGAAUGUUCUCGUGGAUUCAGCUUACCGCCUGACAAGAAAUCUUGCUUUUUGUUCCGUAUCGAGGCCAUGGACAUUUGUAUCAUUUGCAAAAGAUACUGCGAUAUUUGUGUCUUUGUUCAUGCUUUAUAGUUGAUUAACAAUUGGAAGCCAUAACCUGUUUAAUAGGAUGGUGUUAGUGGGACAAUGAAUUUUGUAAAGAUUUAAAGAAUGGAAAAGAUAAUUAAUAGUCAAAAGAGUUCUGCUAUUGUUAAGCAUGCUUUAUUGAUUUGUAAUGUUAUAAAGAUAGCAUUAUUAACAGAAUAAAAUGUCCAUAAUUUGAA
Dreissena polymorpha is the source of this 982-nucleotide long non-coding RNA. RefSeq lists it as uncharacterized. Lineage: Eukaryota; Metazoa; Mollusca; Bivalvia; Myida; Dreissenidae. The transcript has 4 exons. The record is from RefSeq and is a predicted model, not a curated record.